Molecule: unclassified non-coding RNA, 236 nt
Filed under: Hevea brasiliensis (rubber tree)
Lineage: Eukaryota; Viridiplantae; Streptophyta; Magnoliopsida; Malpighiales; Euphorbiaceae
Source: RNAcentral
GCUGUAGUAGAAACUGAUUAUGCACAUGUCCUCAAUGCCAAGGAGCAGAAAAUGCUUCAUUUAAAUUGUAGUUCUCAAUACAAACAAUAAAGGUCUUGUGAAUCUUGUCAUCCUGUGGCUACUUCAGUGUUUAUUCAUGCAAUUUUGGUUGGUUUGUCUUCCAAUGGAUAUCUGUAUUGGUUUAGGACAAUGAAGUUGCUGUUUUUGGCUCUCUAUCCCUAAUUUAAGGUCAACUU